Molecule: non-coding RNA, 414 nt
Organism: Drosophila melanogaster (fruit fly)
Lineage: Eukaryota; Metazoa; Arthropoda; Insecta; Diptera; Drosophilidae
Source: Ensembl
AAUGAGCUGAGCUAAGAAAACCAAGCCCAUGCCCUGGGAAAUUCUUCCCGAAGCCAACUUGAUGUGGAAAAAUUUAAAACCAGCUAGAAAGCCAGAAAGGAAAUCAAAGUGGGCUAGAGAAACUGCCUUUAAAAUCGAUCAAAGUCAAGUUGUUGAUGCUGCUCUCCUCCUGGCUGAGCUCACAAAUUUCACACAUCAAUGAUUUAACAUCGAAGCGACAAAUACAAAAAAAUUGAAUUUCUCUAACGACAAAACAGCAGCGCAACAGAUUCGCCCCUCUGGCAAAAAUAAGAAAUCAUUGAAACAUGUCUAAAAAAAAAAAAAAAACGACGACUCUGGGCAGAAUAACACCAGUAUGAGAUGGGAUGGAAGAUGCCGAAAGGAUUCUGUACAGGACUCGCUCUAAACUGGGGC